GGCCCUUGAGGAAUUUGGUGAAGUCCAUCAGUCACCUGGCAUCUGGAGCCCUGAAAAGUUCAGUCUUUCAUACACUCUAAAGCCAGAUUUGAUGGGAGCUCCCACCUGUCCAGACACUAUUCAAGAUACCAGAAGUAGAGACCUACAAGCCUGCUUCUCUCCAUCCUCAUUGCCCAGAACCAGGAAGGUCAUGAGCUUCCAGUGCUCACCCCCACCCUUCUUGCUGCCAGAUGUGGAAAUGGAGACCCAGAGAGGAAAAUCAGUUGAAUCCUGUCCUGGAGUUGCUUUGUGUUCCUGGC
Long non-coding RNA from Neomonachus schauinslandi (Hawaiian monk seal), 299 nucleotides. RefSeq lists it as uncharacterized. NCBI's taxonomy places the organism in Eukaryota, Metazoa, Chordata, Mammalia, Carnivora, Phocidae. The transcript has 3 exons. The record is from RefSeq and is a predicted model, not a curated record.